Molecule: ribosomal RNA, 215 nt
Filed under: Glomeromycotina sp.
Lineage: Eukaryota; Fungi; Glomeromycota
Description: partial small subunit ribosomal RNA
Rfam family: Eukaryotic small subunit ribosomal RNA (bases 40-215)
Source: RNAcentral
GGGUCAGUAGGUUGGUCGUGCCACCGGUACGUACUGGUCUCACUGAUUCCUCCUUCCUGAAGAACCGUAAUGCCAUUAAUUUGGUGUUGCGGGGAAACAGGACUGUUACUUUGAAAAAUUAGAGUGUUUAAAGCAAGCUAACGCUUGAAUACAUUAGCAUGGAAUAAUGAAAUAGGACGACCGAUCCUAUUUUGUUGGUUUCUAGGAUUGACGUA